GAGCGGCGAACGGGUGAGUAACACGUGAGUAACCUGCCCCUGACUCUGGGAUAAGCCCGGGAAACUGGGUCUAAUACCGGAUACGACACCUCCUGGCAUCGGGUGGGUGUGGAAAGUUUUUCGGUCGGGGAUGGACUCGCGGCCUAUCAGCUUGUUGGUGGGGUAACGGCCUACCAAGGCGACGACGGGUAGCCGGCCUGAGAGGGCGACCGGCCACACUGGGACUGAGACACGGCCCAGACUCCUACGGGAGGCAGCAGUGGGGAAUAUUGCGCAAUGGGCGAAAGCCUGACGCAGCGACGCCGCGUGGGGGAUGACGGCCUUCGGGUUGUAAACCUCUUUCAGCAGGGACGAAGGUGACGUGUACCUGCAGAAGAAGCGCCGGCUAACUACGUGCCAGCAGCCGCGGUAAUACGUAGGGCGCAAGCGUUGUCCGGAAUUAUUGGGCGUAAAGAGCUCGUAGGUGGCUUGUCACGUCGGGUGUGAAAGCUUGGGGCUUAACUCCAGGUCUGCAUUCGAUACGGGCUGGCUAGAGGUAGGUAGGGGAGAACGGAAUUCCU
This 560-nucleotide ribosomal RNA is filed under the name Streptosporangium sp. 419B07. Its description in RNAcentral is "bacterial SSU rRNA". It matches the Rfam family "Bacterial small subunit ribosomal RNA", at positions 93 to 671 of the family's 1533-position model. The record is from RNAcentral. Lineage: Bacteria; Bacillati; Actinomycetota; Actinomycetes; Streptosporangiales; Streptosporangiaceae.